Regulatory RNA element from Pseudomonas sp. FeS53a, 116 nucleotides. It matches the Rfam family "Pseudomon-groES RNA". The record is from Rfam. NCBI's taxonomy places the organism in Bacteria, Pseudomonadati, Pseudomonadota, Gammaproteobacteria, Pseudomonadales, Pseudomonadaceae.
CUAUCCGACACCGCAAGGUUACUGCCCCCAGGGGCAGUUCAGACUUCCGCAGCGUGUCUGGCACGCUGCUGCCGGCACCGCCGGCUUUUGCUAACCCGCCGGUGAUUUUCACCGGC